UCACAUUGCUCUGGCUCUUCUUCAGAAGAUGAAGUAUAACUUUCUUCAUGAAGAACCCUGAGGUCUUCACUUGUUGAUGAUCCAUCUUCCUCAGUUUCAGAUAUUUCUGGAGAUGAAUUUAAGAGAAUCUUAUAUAAAGAAUCUUUGAUAUGAUCAUCUAAGUAAAGUUCUCUAAUUUUAUUCUUGACCUUACACUCAUUAACAAAGUGUCCCAAUCUUCCACAUUUAUAACAAGCCUGGGGUUUUUUUAUUUAGCAAAACCCUUAUUGGCUUUAUGAAAAGCCUUUCUCUUUUGGGUCUUUUCACGCCGUUUUUCUGACGAACCGUUGAUUCUUUUUAAAUCCUUUUUCUUAUGGGCUCUCUUUCCAUUAGAAGGCAUAUCUAUAGCGAAUUGUUCACAAAAUUCGCCCAAUUGCUGUCUCUCAGUGAGACGAUGUUUCUUUAUUUGUUGGUUUAGCUUUAUUUCAUUACAUAAAGUUAAGACUUCCUGAGUGCAUACACUAAUCAAUUUACCAUAUGAGUAAGUAUCAUAAUUAAUACUCAUGACUGUCCCUCUAAGGACCUUUCUAACCCUUUCAGCAAAUAAGGGAGGGAGUCCUUCUAUAAAUUUAGACUUCCAAUGAGAACUAUUAAUCUCUGGUAAUUCC
RNAcentral lists this long non-coding RNA (647 nucleotides) under Nicotiana benthamiana. Its description in RNAcentral is "long non-coding RNA (NBEN_LNC028589)". The record is from RNAcentral. Lineage: Eukaryota; Viridiplantae; Streptophyta; Magnoliopsida; Solanales; Solanaceae.